GAAAAUUUCUGAUCUUAUGCAUUAUGAAUAUGUUUUUAGCUGCACGAUUCAUCUUUCCGCAAUUUUUUUGGUGGUGCGGAAACAACAAAUCUC
Non-coding RNA from Caenorhabditis elegans, 93 nucleotides. NCBI's taxonomy places the organism in Eukaryota, Metazoa, Nematoda, Chromadorea, Rhabditida, Rhabditidae. The record is from Ensembl.